ACGAACGCUGGCGGCGUGCCUAAUACGUGCAAGUAGAACGCUGAAGAGAGGAGCUUGCUCUUCUUGGAUGAGUUGCGAACGGGUGAGUAACGCGUAGGUAACCUGCCUUGUAGCGGGGGAUAACUAUUGGAAACGAUAGCUAAUACCGCAUAACAAUGGAUGACACAUGUCAUUUAUUUGAAAGGGGCAAUUGCUCCACUACAAGAUGGACCUGCGUUGUAUUAGCUAGUAGGUGAGGUAAUGGCUCACCUAGGCGACGAUACAUAGCCGACCUGAGAGGGUGAUCGGCCACACUGGGACUGAGACACGGCCCAGACUCCUACGGGAGGCAGCAGUAGGGAAUCUUCGGCAAUGGGGGCAACCCUGACCGAGCAACGCCGCGUGAGUGAAGAAGGUUUUCGGAUCGUAAAGCUCUGUUGUAAGUCAAGAACGGGUGUGAGAGUGGAAAGUUCACACUGUGACGGUAGCUUACCAGAAAGGGACGGCUAACUACGUG
RNAcentral lists this ribosomal RNA (496 nucleotides) under uncultured bacterium. RNAcentral describes it as "partial 16S ribosomal RNA". It matches the Rfam family "Bacterial small subunit ribosomal RNA", at positions 29 to 507 of the family's 1533-position model. The record is from RNAcentral.